RNAcentral lists this long non-coding RNA (242 nucleotides) under Cavia porcellus (domestic guinea pig). RNAcentral's name for it is "lncRNA (ENSCPOG00000039304.1)". The record is from RNAcentral. Lineage: Eukaryota; Metazoa; Chordata; Mammalia; Rodentia; Caviidae.
GUUUCACUGCUGCACACUCCUUUUAAAGGAGCUUUGCUGAGCCUCCAGGUUGACUGAUCUGAUUGUAUUUCCAAGACCCAGAGAAGUGUUUUUCAAGGUGAAGCAAUAUGUGGCCAGAGCUGAGAAACCUGCUGUCAGGCCUCAGUUGGAAGGAAGGUAUCCAGCCCAGGCCUGCUCUCCAUGGCAAUGUCCUCACCUAUGGGCACUGCUCAGCUGGACAGAGCUCAGGACCUGCAGCCCUC